RNAcentral lists this ribosomal RNA (253 nucleotides) under uncultured bacterium. Its description in RNAcentral is "partial 16S ribosomal RNA". It matches the Rfam family "Bacterial small subunit ribosomal RNA", at positions 524 to 776 of the family's 1533-position model. The record is from RNAcentral.
UACGAAGGGGGCUAGCGUUGUUCGGAUUUACUGGGCGUAAAGCGCACGUAGGCGGACUAUUAAGUCAGGUGUGAAAUCCCGGGGCUCAACCCCGGAACUGCCUUUGAUACUGGUAGUCUUGAGUUCGAGAGAGGUGAGUGGAAUUCCGAGUGUAGAGGUGAAAUUCGUAGAUAUUCGGAGGAACACCAGUGGCGAAGGCGGCUCACUGGCUCGAUACUGACGCUGAGGUGCGAAAGCGUGGGGAGCAAACAGG